Angiostrongylus costaricensis is the source of this 72-nucleotide non-coding RNA. The record is from Rfam. Lineage: Eukaryota; Metazoa; Nematoda; Chromadorea; Rhabditida; Metastrongylidae.
GACCGCUUGGGGCAAUGGUAGCGCGUUCGACUCCAGAUCGAAAGCUAGGGCGUUCGUUCCGCUCAAUAGUCA